UACGAAGGGGGCUAGCGUUGUUCGGAAUCACUGGGCGUAAAGCGCACGCAGGCGGAUUGAUAAGUCAGGGGUGAAAUCCCGGAGCUCAACUUCGGAAUUGCCUUUGAUACUGUCUGUCUUGAGUCCGGGAGAGGUGAGUGGAAUUCCGAGUGUAGAGGUGAAAUUCGUAGAUAUUCGGAGGAACACCAGAAGCGAAGGCGGCCAACUGGCCCGAUACUGACGCUGAGGCGCGAAAGCGUGGGGAGCAAACAGG
Molecule: ribosomal RNA, 253 nt
Filed under: uncultured bacterium
Lineage: Bacteria
Description: partial 16S ribosomal RNA
Rfam family: Bacterial small subunit ribosomal RNA
Source: RNAcentral